CCUACGGGUGGCAGCAGUGAGGAAUAUUGGUCAAUGGGCGCGAGCCUGAACCAGCCAAGUAGCGUGAAGGAUGACUGCCCUACGGGUUGUAAACUUCUUUUAUAAAGUAAUAAGGUGAGGCACGUGUGCCUUUUUGUAUGUACUUUAUGAAUAAGGAUCGUCUAACUCCGUGCCAGCAGCCGCGGUAAUACGGAGGAUCCGAGCGUUAUCCGGAUUUAUUGGGUUUAAAGGGAACGGAGAGGGGUUGUUAAGUUAGUUGUGAAAGUUUGCGGGUCAACCGUAAAAUUGCAAUUGAUACUGGCAGCCUUGAGUACAGUUGAGGUAGGCGGAAUUCGUGGUGUAGCGGUGAAAUGCUUAGAUAUCACGAAGAACUCCGAUUGCGAAGGCAGCAUACUAAACUGCCACUGACAUUGAGGCUCGAAAGUGUGGGUAUCAAACAGGAUUAGAUACCCCUGUAGUC
RNAcentral lists this ribosomal RNA (460 nucleotides) under uncultured bacterium. Its description in RNAcentral is "partial 16S ribosomal RNA". It matches the Rfam family "Bacterial small subunit ribosomal RNA", at positions 338 to 795 of the family's 1533-position model. The record is from RNAcentral.